RNAcentral lists this signal recognition particle RNA (98 nucleotides) under Acidobacteriota bacterium. Its description in RNAcentral is "signal recognition particle sRNA small type". It matches the Rfam family "Bacterial small signal recognition particle RNA". Rfam says of the family: The signal recognition particle (SRP) is a universally conserved ribonucleoprotein involved in the co-translational targeting of proteins to membranes. Archaeal SRP consists of a 7S RNA and homologues of the eukaryotic SRP19 and SRP54 proteins. In most bacteria, the SRP consists of a 4.5S RNA and the Ffh protein (a homologue of the eukaryotic SRP54 protein). The record is from RNAcentral. Lineage: Bacteria; Pseudomonadati; Acidobacteriota.
CCUCGGGCCCUGUGCAAUGUAACCCUCGAACCAUGUCAGGUCCGGAAGGAAGCAGCAUUAAGAGGUUCCUUACAUGUGCAACAGGUCUCCCGGGGCUC